GGUCAUGGAGAAGCGUUUAUGCAGGUGAAUAUUUGGAGAACCACCAGCUCCAGUGGCUGCAUGCUCACCAUUAACAUUAAGCAGUUGCUGCUGUAGAUGAGGAGAAAGCUGCCCUGGAUCCUGCUUUGCUGACAGCUGCUGCGUUAAGUCUCCAGCAUGCUGUUUCACGGUCUGCAGGUCAAUGGAUGCUGUCCCAGCAAGCUCACCUAUUCUCUCAGGAACCAUAAUGCUGAGUAAUAUUGCAUGAAGAGAUGGUGGUACAUGCAUGUGAUGGAGCAGCCAGAGCCUGGAUCCGAAUUUAUCCCUGCAGGAGGAAGCCCUUUCUCAGGGCGAGUCCCCCCAGGGCUUGACAUAAGGACGGUGUGGAAGAUGUGACAGCAUGGCUGGUGUCUGCAAGGCCUCAUGACUUUAAAAGGAUUUGUGACAAGCCAUGAGCCUUGAGAAAAUAAACCAUGAUGAAUUCCCAUCCAUACAGACAGUUCUGAAGGUAUGUGUCCCCUCCUCCCUGCUCCCUGGAAAACCACAGUCUUGGCCAGAACUGGAAGAGGAGCCAUUCAUUCAAGCCCGAUUUCCCAAAUUGUAUUGCAGAACAUGGACUCAAUCACUCUUAAAUGAGCUCCGUGGGGAUUCCGCAUCCCCUCGUGUGCCAGGUUAGCUCUGCAGAGUGUGCGGGGCUGGCUGACGUGCUCGGCACAUGUGAUGGAGGGACAGCAUAGCGGGGCUAGCACGUAGCUGGGGAGUGGCUGGGA
This is a long non-coding RNA of Cygnus olor (mute swan), 749 nucleotides long. RefSeq lists it as uncharacterized. The record is from RefSeq and is a predicted model, not a curated record. Lineage: Eukaryota; Metazoa; Chordata; Aves; Anseriformes; Anatidae. The transcript is spliced from 3 exons.